Long non-coding RNA from Schistocerca nitens (vagrant locust), 1347 nucleotides. RefSeq lists it as uncharacterized. NCBI's taxonomy places the organism in Eukaryota, Metazoa, Arthropoda, Insecta, Orthoptera, Acrididae. The transcript is spliced from 2 exons. The record is from RefSeq and is a predicted model, not a curated record.
AAUUGGUUGGUCAUCAGUACAGUGAUGUGUGUGGCUUUCCAUUCAUGUGUAAAUUUCAGUUAGUCCUGAGAAUUCUACGGAAGUCACCUCAGCAACAUGUGAUAAAUUUCUCAUCAAAGAUCACACAUUCCCAUACUGCAUCAGAUGGCAACUGCUCCCAGUUAAGAUGAGAUACACAAAUGCAUCAUCUGUAAGGUAAUCAGAAAAAAAAAAUGCUUACACAGAAUGAAAUACUUCUACUGGCCAAUUCAGUUCUGUGUGUGUUGGUCUGUAUUUGUAAUCAUUAUUUGCAAUACUGUGCAAGUAGGUAGUGUGUGGGAGUGAAAAUUUGAAUAUGUUGUAAGGUAGAUGUUUGAAAGAUUUAUUGCAUUUUGGCUCUCAUUACAUAGUUUGUGACUCAGUUGAUACAAAACACAAUGUUUUGCUGAGGUUGUGUGUUAACUUCAGUUGGUAAUGUGUACCUUAUUGUGAGAAUUUAUGCGUCCAUUCUGUAAAAAUGAGUUUCCAAUAACAUGUGCAUUGUGUGAUUCUGCAGAUUGAUUUUUAUCAAGCAGAGAAAGGGUUUUGUUUGCAUACAGUUUUAAUGCAGUGUCUGUACUAAAUUCCAGUUUGGAUAACAGCACUGAACACAACAUUACUCACUUUGAGUGAAGCUGCUCAGAGACUGAAGUGUCUAAAGAAGAUUAGUAGAUCUGGAGGUAUGGCAGCAAUAGUUAACAUGGCAGGUUUCCAGAGGAAUUUUUGCUGCCACCAGUUCCUGUAAGCCUGUGCAUGGCUGGGUUUUAUUGGAGUAAUACACAUGGGCUGUUGGGCACUUCAGUGUCUUGGCCAAGAUAAUCAAUUGCAUAUGGGCAGGACUUAAUAAUUACAGUUACUCAGUAUUGUUUUGUGAAAGUGUGUGAAAUUCAGUGAAUGUGAUAGGAACAGUACCAUUAUCAGUAUCCAAUAAUAUCGGUUUUCCAUAAUAUGAAGAACUGAAUGGAGCAUUGUGCACCCAAAUGAACAGUUUCUUCUGACACAACCCAUCAGAUGUUCAUCAGCAACCAUUUCGGUGACCACGUAAGUCAUAUUUUUAAAUAAUCCCACAGUUCUGGUAUUUAUUUGUAACUAAGGGGUACCUUCUUAGUUAUAAUGUGUCGUAGAUAAAAGUGCUACAUUUUCCUUGGGGUUAGGAUCACAGUGGGGGGAAAAUGUUAACCAUUUCUGUUCUGCUUGUCAUACACAAAGAUUGUGGGGAGUGAGAGUUCUGAAUUUAUUUAUAAUGUUUGCGGUCUUUUGAUGUAUUGAAUUUUUGGCUGUUGAAAAUGUAUAGCAUUGCUGUUCGAAAUAAAACUUUUCGAUCUUGUA